Molecule: ribosomal RNA, 319 nt
Filed under: uncultured eukaryote
Lineage: Eukaryota
Description: partial 18S ribosomal RNA
Rfam family: Eukaryotic small subunit ribosomal RNA
Source: RNAcentral
CCCUUAGAUGUUCUGGGCAGCACGCGCGCUACAAUGGUCUUCGCAAACGGAUGCAUUCUCGAAGGAGAAUGCCAAUCUUGGAAUCUAUGCCUUGGUCGGGACAGUUGCUUGCAAUUUUUCGACUCGAACCAGGAAUUCCUUGUAAUCGUGAUUCAUCACAUCACGAUGAAUACGUCCCUGCCCUUUGUACACACCGCCCGUCGCUCCUACCGAUCGAAGAGUUAGGUGAAUUGUUUUGAUCGAUAAGAUUUGACUAUGGUCAACUCUCGUUGUGAAAUUCUGUGAAUCUGACUAUUUAGAGGAAGUAAAAGUCGUAACA